AGAGCGUAGGGAGAAUGCCUUGGCAUUAGGAGCCGACGAAGGACGUGAUAAGCUGCGAUAAGCUGCGGGGAUCAGCAAGUAUGAAUUGAUCCGCAGAUUUCCGAAUGGAGCAAUCCGUAUGUGUAUGCACAUACAUCAUAUACUGAAUCAAAUAGGUAUAUGAGGGGAACCGCCUGAACUGAAACAUCUAAGUAGGGCGAGGAAGAGAAAUCAACCGAGAUUCUGUGAGUAGUGGCGAGCGAAAGCGGAAGAGGCUAAACCAUAGGUAGCAAUACUUAUGGGGUUUCGGACAGCAUUUAGUAUUGAUAAUUUCUAGUUGAAACGUGUGGGAAAACGUACCGAAGAGUGUGAGAGUCACGUAAGCGAAAGAGAAAGUCAGCGAGCUGUAUCCAAAGUACCGCGGGACACGUGAAACCCCGUGGGAAGAUGGGGGGACCAUCCUCCAAGCCUAAAUACUACCUAAUGACCGAUAGCGAAUAGUACUGUGAAGGAACGGUGAAAAGAACCCCGGGAGGGGAGUGAAAAAGAACCUGAAACCCUAUGCUUACAAGCACCGAGAGCACGUCAAAGUGUGAUCGGGUACCUUUUGUAGAAUGGUCCGGCGAGUUAUUGUAUGCGGCAAGGUUAAGUGCUUAAGGCACGGAGCCGAAGCGAGAGCAAGUCUGAAUAGGGCGAAAAAGUCGUAUGCAAUAGACCCGAAACCGAGUGACCUAUCCAUGUCCAGGCUGAAGUGGAGGUAAAACUCCAUGGAGGGCCGAACACACGUCCGUUGAAAAGGCCGGUGAUGAGGUGUGGAUAGCGGAGAAAUUCCAAUCGAACUCGGAUAUAGCUGGUUCUCUCCGAAAUAGCUUUAGGGCUAGCCUCGUGAAAGAUUACUGGAGGUAAAGCACUGAAUGGGCUAGGGGUCGAAAGAUUACUGAACCCUAUCAAACUAAGAAUGCCAGAUAAUUGAUUCACGGGAGUCAGACAAUGUGAGAUAAGUCUCAUUGUCAAAAGGGAAACAGCCCAGACCCACAGCUAAGGUCCCUAAACAUUGUUAAGUGGAAAAGGAUGUGGGGUUGCAUAAACAACCAGGAUGUUGGCUUAGAAGCAGCCACUCAUUAAAAGAGUGCGUAAUAGCUCACUGGUCGAGUGACCCUGCGCCGAAAAUUCAACGGGGCUAAACAAUGUACCGAAGCUUGGGAUUCUAAAGUAAUUUAGAGUGGUAGGAGAGCGUCGAAUAAGGGGUGAAGUCAGAGCGGAAGCGCUGGUGGACUUUAUUCGAGUGAGAAUGCCGGAAUGAGUAGCGAGAAUUAUGUGAGAAUCAUAAUGGCCGAAAAUCUAAGGUUUCCUGAGGAAGGUUCGUCCGCUCAGGGUAAGCCGGGGGCUAAGGCGAGGCGGAGACGCGUAGCCGAUGCACAUACGGUUGAAAUUCCGUAGCCACCGAAAGAUUUAAGUACAGGGACGCUUUAGAAGUGAUGUAGCCGGGCGAUGGUUGACCCGGUCGUAAGGGAUCGAAAAUGAGUAGAGAAGUCAUCAUGGAAAGAGACAAGAAAAGCUGUAUGAAUAUCUUAGGUGCCCGUACCGCAAACCGACACAGGUAGAUAGGAAGAAGAUUCUAAGGCCAACGGGAGAAGGGUUGUUAAGGAACUCGGCAAGUUGACCCCGUAACUUAGGGAUAAGGGGUGCUCAAGUGAUUGAGCCGCAGAGAAUAGGUCCAGGCGACUGUUUAGCAAAAACACAGGUCUCUGCUAAAUCGAAAGAUGACGUAUAGGGGCUGACACCUGCCCGGUGCCGGAAGGUUAAGAGGAGAUGUGAGAGCAUUGAAUUGAAGCCCCGGUAAACGGCGGCCGUAACUAUAACGGUCCUAAGGUAGCGAAAUUCCUUGUCAGGUAAGUUCUGACCCGCACGAAAGGUGUAACGAUCUGGGCACUGUCUCAACAACCCGCCCGGCGAAAUUGUAGUACCGGUGAAGAUGCCGGUUACCCGCGACUAGACGGAAAGACCCCAUGGAGCUUUACUGUAGCCUAAUAUUGGGUUUCGAUGUUGCAUGCACAGGAUAGAUGGGACACUGGGAAGCAGGUGCUUUGGCGCUUGUGGAGUGGCCGUUGGGAUACCAUCCUUGCGAUAUUGGAAUUCUAACCUGCGCCUUUGAAUCAAGGCGGGGGA
This 2148-nucleotide ribosomal RNA is filed under the name human gut metagenome. RNAcentral's name for it is "bacterial LSU rRNA". It matches the Rfam family "Bacterial large subunit ribosomal RNA", at positions 14 to 2251 of the family's 2925-position model. The record is from RNAcentral.